CGGAUGUGGGAGGAGUGGGGGAAAGCUUGUGGCCGCUGACACAUACCACCCUGCACUGCUGCUGCACCGCGUGCACCACCCACCUCAGGUUUGCAUCCAGCCAAAAACCUCCUGCCCUCAGAAAAAAACCAUCCAAAGAGAGGACCAUCAUCCUGGGCGAUUUUAAUGCAAGAGUUGGCAAUGACAAUCUAGCAUGGAAAGGCGCACUUGGAAGACAUGGAUUGGGAAACUGUAAUGACAAUGGAUUCUUGCUUCUGGAAUUCUGUGCAGAAAUGCAAGUGACAAUAACCAAAACCCAGUUCCAGCAGAAAAACCAUUAUAAGACCUUUUGGAUGCAUCCCUGCUCCAGACAUUGGCACCUGAUAGAUUACAUCUUGGUGCAUCAGCAUGAUCUUGGGAAUGUCCUGCACACUAGAGUCAUGCCUAGUGCUGACUACUAUACUGACAACUGACUUUUUCACUCAAAGUUGUCCUCCCACUUCAAAGCCUCAGCCCAAGCACAGAAGUAACCCCCCAAAGAAAUAUGAUGUUUUGAAGCUGCAAAAUCAAUCUUGCCAACAAAAAUUUCAAAGAAUUCAAAGCUUGAAAGCCAAAUCCAUGUUGCAGACACCUCACUCAAUUGACUCUGGGAACAUAUCAAGUCAGUAGUCUUGGAGACCACCAAGGAGAUUGUUGGGCUCAGUACUAAGAGAUACCGGGACUGGUUUGAUGAAAAUGACAGACAUCCAAGCCCUGCUCACAAAAGAGGUCCACUCAUCAAGCCCUUCUAGCACAGCCAACUAGCCAAGGGAGAAAGGCAGCUUACUGCCAGGCAUGUAACACCCUUCAGUGGAAAAUGCAUGACAUCUAAAAUGAAUGGUGGUCUAACUUUGAGGAAAGAAUGCAACUAUGUGCUGAUAAUGGUGACACCAGAAGCUUCUAUGAAGCACUGAAAUCUGCCUAUGGCCCCACCUUCCUGAUCCAAAGCCCACUGAGGAGCGCUGAUGGCCAGACCCUACACAUUGACAAAGACUGUCAUGGACCAAUGGUCUGAGCGCGUUCAAACUCUCUUUAGCACUGAAUGCACAGUACAUGAGUCUGCCAUCAACCAAGUCAAGCAACUGCCUAUUAAAGAAGAACUUGAUGAGCAUCCUACACUGGAAGAAACCUUCACUGCUAAUGACCAGUUAAAAAGCAACACAGCCCCUGGAAUUGAUGGCAUUCUACCUGAAGCCCUGAAAUACAGCGGUCCUGCCCUACACUCCAAGCCCCAUGAACUCUUUAUAGCCUGCUGGGAGCAGUGGAAAACUCCAUAAGAUCUCCGUGAUUCUGUAAUCAUCACCCUGUCCAAGAAUUAAGGUGACAAGUCAGACCGUUCCUACUACCGAGGGAUCGCACUUCUGUCCAUCACCAGGAAAAUUCUAGCUAGAAUUCUCCUCGACAGGCCGGUGCCUGCCAUAACAGACGAGGUCCUCCAGGAGAGUCAAUGUGGCUUCAGAGCAAACAGAGGCAUGAUAUAUAUGGUAUUUGUGCUCAGACAAAUACAGCAAAGGUGCUGGGAGCAGAACAAGGGGUUGUACAUCACUUUCAUUGACCUUUCUCAGGUGUUUGACACCAUAAGCCAAAAUGGCCUCUGGAAGAUUCAUGAGAAGCUUGGAUGCCCAUCUAAGUUCCUCACCAUGGUCAGGCAACUCCGUGACAGUCAGCGUGGACAAGUCAAAUACAGCAGCAGGCUCUCAGGUCCCUUUCUGCUCUCCAGUGGAGUUAAGGAAGACUGUGUACUCACCCCUACUUUGUUCACCAUUUUCUUUGGUAUGAUUCUGCAGCAAGCAUCGGACAAGCUUGGGCAAGGUGAGGAAGUUGUUUACAUCUGCUUCUUGGCAGAUGUACCCAGAAAACCUCUUCAACCUCAGACAGCAACAGUCUUACACAAAGACCUCACAACAGCUCAUCUGUGAACAAAAAAGGCAACAGCCUUAUUUGAAUGUCAGUGCAGGGCCAGCAUCAAGGAGAAGAGGACUAAGAGGAAAGAUACACUCUCAUUGAGCAGCAGUCGGCCAUGUAAGUGUACCUGUUGCAGCAGGAUUUGCCUCUCUGCAAUUGGACUGAUUAGUCACCAGUGGGCCUGCAGCCAGCAUGGCCAGUUACCUUCCUAACCUCUUCAUCUGCUAAGAGGAAGAGUAUUCUCUUGGAUACAACAUGCACAUUUUUCCCCAAAAUCAGCUACUGGAAAUUGGGGUGUGCAUUAUAAACAAGGAAAUAUAGUAAUAGCAGUUUCUUUUUCUUAUGCCUCUGUGAGGAUUGGGAAAGCAAGUUAAAGUAAUGCUGAAUGUGCUCUUCAGAGAGUAGCAUAAUGAGCACUCUGGGCUCCCUAGCUGCUGCCACUCAGUUACCUAUUGCCACUGACCAGUAUUUGCAAUGAAAGAUUCUUCAUUCUGCCUUUCAAAAACAAAGUGCAUCUCUUUUUCUGGGAUGUGUUAUAUGUGGAAAAAUAGAGCAUACAACAUUUCAUUUUCUUUUCACCUCUUUGUACCAUGAGUUGGCUCCACAUUCAGGAGAGCACUAAAGCACGUGGGAAUUAAAAGCACAUUAGCCUGGGACUUUUCAUCUGCUGGACUGGGGCCUUUCACCAGGAGAAAGUUGGUGUAAAACAUUGCUGUUUUGAUUUGAUAGCAUUUUAAGCUCUGUUUGCAUGGAUGUAAAUGAUUCUACGGAGUGCAGAACAGUGGAGAAUCAGGUGUUUCAUGCUUUGUUUUGCAAUGCUUUGUGUGUCAGUAUUUUAAGACCCUAAUGCUUCAAAACUGGAAUUUACAGAAGUGGAUAGUCUCACGACAUGUUUAUAUUUGAGUAUAGUGAUUUUAAACUGGCCUCUAGAAACUUCUGUUUUGAUAGUUUGAAUAAUUGGUGUUAUCUAUUAACUAAAAUUAAGUAUGGAAUAAUCAAUACAACUCAAAAUAUGUAAGAGUUGUAUUCACAAAGCAUUUAAUUACAUGGCUGAAGAAAUCUCUCUGAAAAACACUGUGGCUGGUUGUAAAAUUUCUUACAUUUGGUGGGGUGUGAAGAGUAACUUUCUCUGAUAAAAACUGAGACAAAUACACUGUGAUCUGAGCUUAAAUUAAACAGGAAUAAAACAUCUGCUUCUCUUGGAAAAAUAUGUACCCUAGUUGUAAUGAAUGCAACAUGUAGAUGCGUGGCUGUGAUACUAUAAGUCAUAUGACUAAUGAUGCAUUUCUAGUACAGUGUAGUUGAUAAUGAAAAGGAGUCAUUAUCUUAUAGCAAAAAGUGUGUGGGGUUUAUUUUAUCUCCAUAGAAAAUAUUUGAUUUUUUUUUUUCAUUUUUAACACUACCACAGAUUGUGCUGGGGUUUCAUCAUUAAACUCAAAUGCAGCUUUGUUUAAA
This is a long non-coding RNA of Alligator mississippiensis (American alligator), 3378 nucleotides long. RefSeq lists it as uncharacterized. The record is from RefSeq and is a predicted model, not a curated record. The transcript is spliced from 2 exons. Lineage: Eukaryota; Metazoa; Chordata; Crocodylia; Alligatoridae.